CAUUCCUCUAAGCUGCCCAGCUCCCCUUUCUUUCUAACUAACUCCGCUGGGCUACAGAGUUGUCUUCACCCUGCUUCCUGCUCAUCACUUCAGCAGCAUCUUCACUAACACACCAAACUUCCUUUCUCUUGUCUUCCCAGCUUCCUUGUGGAGUCCUUCUAAACGCAGUGUCUAAUCUGCUUCCUCACAAGUCUCAAGAUCUCCAAAUCUCGCUCUAUUCUUUAGCUUGAGCUCCUUGCCCACUAGGGGCCAGCUGGAACAAUAAGACUCAGGACAAUGAGCUUUCUGUUGUUAGCAGGUCGGGGCCCCCUUGAUGCCAAAGAGACUUGCUUGGAAGAAGAGGGCAAAGGACACCACUGCGACCUUCACAGAAGGCUUAGCUUGGAAUGCAGAAGAUUGCUUGCGUUUCUAGGCUCGGGUAGGAAGAUGAAAGGCCCUGACGGAUUGCCAGAAGUUGUGGCUGC
RNAcentral lists this long non-coding RNA (464 nucleotides) under Monodelphis domestica (gray short-tailed opossum). Its description in RNAcentral is "lncRNA (ENSMODG00000047281.1)". The record is from RNAcentral. Lineage: Eukaryota; Metazoa; Chordata; Mammalia; Didelphimorphia; Didelphidae.